GGAGUAGGUAUAGCUCAGUGGUUGAGUGCAUGUUUCACAUAUAUGUGAUGUCCCAGGUUCAAUCCCUGGUACCUCCU
RNAcentral lists this transfer RNA (77 nucleotides) under Dasypus novemcinctus (nine-banded armadillo). Its description in RNAcentral is "tRNA-Val (CAC) (tRNA-Val-CAC-15-1)". It matches the Rfam family "tRNA". Rfam says of the family: Transfer RNA (tRNA) molecules are approximately 80 nucleotides in length. Their secondary structure includes four short double-helical elements and three loops (D, anti-codon, and T loops). Lineage: Eukaryota; Metazoa; Chordata; Mammalia; Cingulata; Dasypodidae. The record is from RNAcentral.